RNAcentral lists this ribosomal RNA (108 nucleotides) under Cryomorpha ignava. Lineage: Bacteria; Pseudomonadati; Bacteroidota; Flavobacteriia; Flavobacteriales; Cryomorphaceae. The record is from RNAcentral.
UUAGGUGACUAUUGCAAUGAGGUCCACCUCUUCCCAUUCCGAACAGAGAAGUUAAGCUCAUUAGCGCAGAUGGUACUGGUAUUCCGGGAGAGUAUGUCGUCGCCAAUU